GAUGAAGAACGCAGCGAAAUGCGAUACGUAAUGUGAAUUGCAGAAUUCAGUGAAUCAUCGAGUCUUUGAACGCACAUUGCGCCCCCUGGUAUUCCGGGGGGCAUGCCUGUCCGAGCGUCAUUGCUGCCCUCAAGCACGGCUUGUGUGUUGGGCCUCCGUCCUCCUCCCGGGGGACGGGCCCGAAAGGCAGCGGCGGCACCGCGUCCGGUCCUCGAGCGUAUGGGGCUUCGUCACCCGCUCUUGUAGGCCCGGCCGGCGCUUGCCGACACAUCAAUCUUUUUUCCAGGUUGACCUCGGAUCAGGUAGGGAUACCCGCUGAACUUAUGCAUAUCAAUAAGCGGAGGA
This 345-nucleotide unclassified non-coding RNA is filed under the name soil metagenome. Its description in RNAcentral is "partial contains 5.8S ribosomal RNA, internal transcribed spacer 2, and large subunit ribosomal RNA". The stretch from base 1 to 120 matches the Rfam family "5.8S ribosomal RNA", at positions 35 to 154 of the family's 154-position model. The record is from RNAcentral.